CAAUAGCGUAUAUUUAAGUUGUUGCAGUUAAAAAGCUCGUAGUUGGAUUUCGGGUGGGACGCAGCGGUCUCGCAUUGCGUUUGUACUGCUGCAGCCCUCCUUCUUGCCGGGGGCGGCCUCUCGGACUUCACUGUCUGGGGGUCAGAAUCGGCGAUGUUACUUUGAGUAAAUUAGAGUGUUCAAAGCAAGCUUACGCUCUGAAUAUAAUAGCAUGGGAUAACACGACAGGACUCUGGCCUAUCGUGUUGGUCUAUAGGACCAGAGUAAUGAUUAAGAGGGACAGUCGGGGGCAUUCGUAUUCCGUUGUCAGAGGUGAAAUUCUUGGAUUUACGGAGGACGAACAUCUGCGAAAGCAUUUGCCAAGGAUGUUUUCAUUG
This 377-nucleotide ribosomal RNA is filed under the name uncultured eukaryote. Its description in RNAcentral is "partial 18S ribosomal RNA". It matches the Rfam family "Eukaryotic small subunit ribosomal RNA", at positions 592 to 975 of the family's 1831-position model. The record is from RNAcentral.